This 666-nucleotide long non-coding RNA is filed under the name Numida meleagris (helmeted guineafowl). RNAcentral's name for it is "lncRNA (ENSNMEG00000000802.1)". The record is from RNAcentral. Lineage: Eukaryota; Metazoa; Chordata; Aves; Galliformes; Numididae.
UGUGCGACAUUGUGUGUGCGACACUGCACGUGACGUCUGUGUGGGACACGUGGGCAAGUGACACAUGUGUGUGCAAGGCUGUGUGUGUGACAUCGUGCGUGCGACACUUGGGCGUGUGACGUGUGCAAGGCUGUGCGCGUGUGACACUGCACGUGCAACACAUGUGUGUGUGUGACAUGUGCAACGCUGCGUGUGCAUGUGACUCUGCGUGUGCAACGUGUGUGUGUGUGACAUAUGCGUGCCACGCUUGUGCGUGUGCAAGGCUGCGUUGUGCACAGGUGUGACCCCCCCCCACACGUGGCACACGUGUCACACGCGUGUCCCCAGGGCGCCAUGGGGCAGUGUGGGGCAGCGUGGAGUGACUAUGGGGCAGCUGUGGGGCAGUGUGGGUCUCUAUGGGGCAGUGUGGGGCAAUGUGGGUUUCUAUGGGGCAGUGUGGGGCCGCUGUGGGGCAGCUAUGGGGCAGUGUGGAGUGACUGUGGGUCAGUGUGGGGCAGCUGUGGGGCAGUGUGGGUCUCUAUGGGGCAGUGUGGGGCAGCUAUGGGGCAAUGUGGGUCAGUGUGGGACAGCUAUGGGGCAGUAUGGGGCAGCUGUGGGUCAGUGUGGGGCAGCUAUGGGGCAAUGUGGGUCUCUAUGGCUCUCUGUGGGAUGACGUGGGGCAGUGUG